This 438-nucleotide transfer-messenger RNA is filed under the name Candidatus Omnitrophota. RNAcentral describes it as "JABDGZ01 sp015233335 Standard tmRNA". It matches the Rfam family "transfer-messenger RNA". Rfam says of the family: Bacterial tmRNA, also known as 10Sa RNA or SsrA, is named for its dual tRNA and mRNA-like properties. RNAcentral also lists the same sequence under 1 other name. Lineage: Bacteria; Pseudomonadati. The record is from RNAcentral.
GGGGGUGAUCGGUCUCGACUUGUGUUCGUCGGGUAUAGGUCGCGUGUCGAGGAAGCUUGGUAGGCCUCGUAAAAUAAUCUAAGCAAAAAUUAAACGCUAACGAAAAACCGUUAAUGUUCAGCGAUUUCGAAGCCGCUGUUGCUAAGAGCCCAGUUGCACCGGUUCCUAUGCCAAUGGCCUUCGGGCUCGCUGUCUAAGCCUUAGUUACACCGUAACUAAGCCCGUUUACUUGCAACACCUGCUAGUAAGAUAAGCGGUCAAGAGCAGGCUGGCUUCAAUGUUUGUCUUCGGCGUUGAAGCGAGAUCGUAGAGGGCUAGUCCCAAAACAAUCCUGUUUGCCGGAGGGUGAGGGACGAGACAAAAAUAGACAAACUACACAUGUAGAAGCUUAUAUUACGAGACUCAAGGACCCGGGUUCAAUUCCCGGCACCUCCACCA